UGAUACUGAUAUUCUUGAAUGUAGUUGAGGUGGGCGGAAUGUGUAAUGUAGCGGGUGAAAUGCUAUAGAUAUUACACAGAAACACCGAUGCGUAAGGCAGCUCACUAAACUUACAUUGACGCUGAGUCACGAAAGCUUGGGGAGCGAACAGGAUUAGAUACCCUGGUAGUCCACGCUGUAAACUUAUGAUCACUCGCUGUUGGCAAUACAUCGUCAGCGGCUGAGCGAAAGCAUUAAGUGAUCCACCUGGGGAUUACGAUCGCAAGAUUGAUACUCAAAGGAAUUGACGGGGGCCCGCACAAGCGGAGGAACAUGUGGUUUAAUUCGAUGAUACGCGAGGAACCUUACCUGGGCUUAAAUGCAGAUCGACGUUCCGGGAAACCGGAAUUCCUUCGGGCGAACUGCAAGGUGCUGCAUGGCUGUCGUCAGCUCGUGCCGUGAGGUGUCGGGUUAAGUCCCAUAACGAGCGCAACCCUUAUCGUUAGUUGCCAGCGGGUAAUGCCGGGGACUCUAACGAAACUGCCGGUGUAAACCGUGAGGAAGGUGGGGAUGACGUCAAGUCAGCACGGCCCUUAUGUCCAGGGCUACACAC
This 592-nucleotide ribosomal RNA is filed under the name uncultured organism. Its description in RNAcentral is "bacterial SSU rRNA". It matches the Rfam family "Bacterial small subunit ribosomal RNA", at positions 628 to 1221 of the family's 1533-position model. The record is from RNAcentral.